RNAcentral lists this ribosomal RNA (253 nucleotides) under uncultured bacterium. Its description in RNAcentral is "partial 16S ribosomal RNA". It matches the Rfam family "Bacterial small subunit ribosomal RNA", at positions 524 to 776 of the family's 1533-position model. The record is from RNAcentral.
CACAGAGGUCUCAAGCGUUGUUCGGAUUCAUUGGGCGUAAAGGGUGCGUAGGCGGCGCGGUAAGUCGGGUGUGAAAUCUCGGAGCUUAACUCCGAAACUGCAUUCGAUACUGCCGUGCUUGAGGACUGGAGAGGAGACUGGAAUUUACGGUGUAGCGGUGAAAUGCGUAGAUAUCGGGAGGAACACCUGUGGCGAAAGCGGCGCACUGGACCACAACUGACGCUGAGGCGCGAAAGCUAGGGGAGCAAACAGG